GCCAACAUCCAUACUACGCUGAAUGCACCGGUUCUCGUCCAAUCACCGAAGUUAAGCAGCGUUAGGCGCUGUUAGUACUUGGAUGGGUGACCGCUUGGGAACCCCGCGUGCCGUUGGUA
Molecule: non-coding RNA, 119 nt
Organism: Nasonia vitripennis (jewel wasp)
Lineage: Eukaryota; Metazoa; Arthropoda; Insecta; Hymenoptera; Pteromalidae
Source: Rfam